UGAGCAAAAGUUGCAGCACAGCGUGUCACCAGAGAGGAAAAGAAUAUCCUUGCUGUGCCAAGAAAGAAAAGACCAUGGAUCUACUAGUUGCAGAUUUCAGCAGUAAUGCCAAGGGGGCAAGAAGUGACCAGCAGAACAAUUAGGCCAUGGCAACAGAAGCCAACUACAACCCAUGUUCCAAUCUAUGACCUCCCUCUCCUGCUGGUACAAGGAUAUGUAUUCCUUAGAGCAAAGGAUGCAAUGUCAAGCAAGUUGUGAUACCUCAACUAUCUACAAUUUAACACCAAGGAAAGAACACUGUUUGGAGAAAUGAGAAAGAUUAUCAUCAGUGUCUUUCAGAAGUCAUCAAAAGAAGAAAAGGAGAAAAGAGAGGAGAAAGCAGAAAGAUCUGGAGUCUGGGAAGUUCAAGAGCAUGGCACCAACAUCUGGCAAGGGCUUUCAUUCUGCAUCAUCUCAUGGAGGAAAAUAAAAAGAUUUCAGGUAAAUCCAGAUUUGGAGCUUAAAUGACUCAAAUGCUUUGCCUACAUUGAUCCUACAUUCAGGCUGCUUACAUAUCUCUUGGCUUCUCUGAGAACCAGAUUGUCACCACUUAAAGUGUCUUCCAGAGUCCUCACGAGUAUCAGAGAAGGCAUAAUCUGUACACGUGGCUUCAUUUAAAAUGAAAAUAUCAAGCAGUGUCAUUUUCACAAGUAUCCCCACACUGUCUGAGGCUGAAAAGAAGAGUGUAGCUAUGCACACUGCAGUGAGAAGAAAAUUUCAGCUCAAUUGGAGGAUGUAAAGAUUGAAAUACCACUGCUCCUAGUUCUGAUGCAAAAUUGAAAAGAGUGCACUGGGUCUUCAAAUGGCAUAUUGACAAGGAGAAAGAGGAAAGGAUGCCCCAGGACAGCCUGGGGGUCAAGGCUGGGCUCAGGCAUGCCUGGACAAGCCAUGCAAGUUGUCUCCGGACUUGAACCACGUAUCAGAGGAGCUAUUUGAGGAGCCACAUCAGCAUACCUGCUUCUGUGGGCCCCCAGGCUGUGGUGCUCAGCCCUUGCACUAUGAAACAUUUUUUUUUUCCAGAAGCCAAAGCUUUGAGCAUCUCCUCCCAUGUAGAGAGUGUAUAUGUUUACGUCCAUGUCUUUCGCCAUGUGAACGCAUGCAACCACCACCUCAAAUAUCAUAAAUCCUCUCUCUCCCCCUUUCUGUCUGCCUGUUUAUCUACAAUCUGUCUAUUUAAAUUCUUUUUAAACAAGAAGGGAAUAUCUUUAUGCCUGUUUGUAGGGAUAUUCUACAUCCAUCUGUUAUUUACAUCAUUCGUUUUCCUGAGGUGUCUCCAACAAAUCCUGGCUGGAUGCACUGUAUGUGUUAUUAAUAAAACAGCUGUAAAAAUAUUAA
This 1374-nucleotide long non-coding RNA is filed under the name Homo sapiens (human). RNAcentral's name for it is "HSALNT0394522". The record is from RNAcentral. Lineage: Eukaryota; Metazoa; Chordata; Mammalia; Primates; Hominidae.